ACUUUCUGUCCCGCUGUUUUAUGGGGAAGGCGGGGGAAGACACGCAGACAUCAAUUCGACUAAACAAAGUUUAUCAAUAAUAUUAAAAAUAAAAAGUAAAGCCCCUUUCUGAACAUUAUGGCUUAUUCCUUGAUUAUCCUUCUUAAUGCCACAGCGUGGCUAUCUCAGAACAAAAUUAGAGACUAACAGUAAAUUUACUUUAAUUUUUACGAAUAAUUCUCUAUCAAUGUAAAAAUUUUUCAUAUACGCGUGUAUGAAAGAAAAACACUACUAUUUUUCCACAUUCGUGAAAACUGCUUAACUGGGACAGUAACCGAGCGGCCAGUGAAUAUUUAAAAUACUGUAACCGACGAAUACGUAUGCUUCUAGGACCACGUGGAAUCUUUCCCAUGGUAGGUAAGCAAAACAAAUGUGCUUCCCAGAACCCUCCAAACUGCUCGUGGGUAUAUUACUACAGAUUACAUAAUGCAGCAGCGUUCCGGGACGCAAGCCCAG
RNAcentral lists this long non-coding RNA (495 nucleotides) under Homo sapiens (human). RNAcentral describes it as "HSALNT0296218". The record is from RNAcentral. Lineage: Eukaryota; Metazoa; Chordata; Mammalia; Primates; Hominidae.